GAAGAUGUACAUUUUAGUUGAAGUCAUGUAUCAGUUGUUUCUCUUUAUUGACGUAUAAUGGUAUUUGAGCUUGUGUAUCUUUGCUCACCAUAAUUGCAGGUGUAUUUGCUACAAUCGUCUAUAUAAUGAAACUGAUCUUUGUUAUACUUAUUUUAGAUAAAUCUAAGCCUUUUACAGACUUAUUAGUGGAUAAGUAUAAUUUUAUGAUCAAAAUGCAGAUUUCUUUUAUGAAGUAACAGAAGCAAGAUGCUUCAGCAAAAUCUAAUGAGGGCACUAUACCAAAUGAAACCAGAUCAAAUCCGACACAGGUGACGUUGAUCCUUCUGGCACAAAACCUGACAUGAAUAAUGCAUUUCUCAGUGGAAGAAGAUGAGGUAACAAUUGAAGUAAUGUUUUCUUCUUUGCUGCAUCUUUCUAGACAGGAUAAUUUUGUUGCUACGUUGAAUCUCUAGUAUCUAUCAUGAAUUAUUUGUGGACGCCAAUGUUUCAGUCUUGAACGUACCAGUUGGUACUAUGACAUUCUAGUUAUUUUACAGGCUAGAUGAGUCUAUUAUCAUUAAGUUUGGCGUGGUUGGAACAACUGGUUCAAUGGUUCUUCUUGAGUGGCAUCAUUUGUAACAACUGGAAAUUUAGUUGGUUUAAAUUUGGCUGUUUAAAAGUGAUGGUUAAUGUAUCACAUAAAGAGGAUGGAAAAAUGGCGCGUUGUGCCUACCCAAGUCAAGGUAGACUUCAAAUGUAAAGCAGAAUGCUAGCCUGGAAGUCAUGAAUCCUGCUUAGAUCUGGAAAGAUUUAUAUGCUGUAAAGGAUCAGUGUUUUCAUUCUGCCUUCUACUUGCUAUGCUACUUUUCAAACCAAUACUCAUUUGAAUAGUUGUAUCAUGUUUCUUGACUUGCUAGCAA
Molecule: long non-coding RNA, 899 nt
Filed under: Musa acuminata (dwarf banana)
Lineage: Eukaryota; Viridiplantae; Streptophyta; Magnoliopsida; Zingiberales; Musaceae
Description: long non-coding RNA (MACU_LNC010310)
Source: RNAcentral